AUUGAACGCUGGCGGCAUGCCUUACACAUGCAAGUCGAACGGUAACAGGUCUUCGGAUGCUGACGAGUGGCGAACGGGUGAGUAAUACAUCGGAACGUGCCCGAUCGUGGGGGAUAACGCAGCGAAAGCUGUGCUAAUACCGCAUACGAUCUACGGAUGAAAGCGGGGGAUCGCAAGACCUCGCGCGGACGGAGCGGCCGAUGGCAGAUUAGGUAGUUGGUGGGAUAAAAGCUUACCAAGCCGACGAUCUGUAGCUGGUCUGAGAGGACGACCAGCCACACUGGGACUGAGACACGGCCCAGACUCCUACGGGAGGCAGCAGUGGGGAAUUUUGGACAAUGGGCGCAAGCCUGAUCCAGCCAUGCCGCGUGCAGGAUGAAGGCCUUCGGGUUGUAAACUGCUUUUGUUACGGAACGAAAAGACUCUCUCCUAAUACAGGGGUGGAAUGACGGUACCGUAAGAAUAAGACACCGCUAACUACGUGCAGACG
RNAcentral lists this ribosomal RNA (490 nucleotides) under uncultured bacterium. RNAcentral describes it as "bacterial SSU rRNA". It matches the Rfam family "Bacterial small subunit ribosomal RNA", at positions 30 to 517 of the family's 1533-position model. The record is from RNAcentral.